GUCAGUAAGAGAGGCUGACUACUUUCAGGGCAGCAGUAAAGAAGUUCUGAUCAGUUUGGGGGAAUAUAUAGCAGUGUUUGCAGGGUUGCAUCAAUACAGCGUUUGCUGUGUCUGUGUCUGAGUUGGUGGACGUCAGCCAGAUAGGUUUUAAUGGUUGUGUCGUCAUUGUCGUCCUACUUGGGAUGAUGUUGCAGGUUAGAUCCUUGUGAAAUAUUAAUGUGAAUAUGUAACUCUUGAAGCUGGUGUUUCAGAAAUCUGGACAUAUUCACAGAGAAAAAAAUUGAGAGGUUAAUUUUUGAAAGGAGUGCUCUCUAAAGAAUGAUUUUUAAACUUGUGUGUGGAGAAAGAUUUACAGUUCUAAGCUACAAAAUGUAUGUUGAGCAAAAGUAUGAAGCUGCAGCAUGAUGAGAAACCAAUGAAGAGGUGGAAGGAGAACAGUAUCCCACUUUUACUAAGUAGGAGAAAGUUUUAGUGAAGUGAAAACUCUAAUCUGAUAUUGAAGGUGACACAUUGAGAAACAUAGCUUCCUUCUAGCAAGAAGGGAAUUGCUGGUAUAUCUACCAUGAAGCAUUCUUCUCUUACAAGCAUGAAGAGACAUUUCUGGCAGGUAAAUCCAGGUAGAGCUGAGAGUAAAUUAAAUGCAGCUGCAAUUAUGGAGUAUUGCAUUGAGUAUCUUCAGGAACCAGUAGCUGAAGUAGCAGUAUAAAUUUGCAACUUGCUUGAACCCAAAACAGCAUUCAAACAAAGAUAGUGGGUUAACAACAAAAACUUCAAGUAUUUGAUUUCCAAGAAGGAAAUGAGUUUGUUUUGAAAUCUGCUAGGUGUUUCAGUGAUUUGCAGGUGAAAAGGAAGGGAAAAAUAGCUGUAGUCUGCCAUACCUCUCUUGGACUUGUAAAGACCUAGUGAGCAGCUCUCAUGUUGGCUUUUAUCAUUGCCUUUAGUGGUCUUGUGAUUUAUGUCAGUAUAUAGCAAGAUACUAAGUAUCAUCUCUGAAAAUAUUUUUGCUGUUUGGAAAAGCCAUAGAUACUUAAUCUUCAGGCUCAUAAAAAUUCAUUGCUUUAGUUUGUUUAUAUUUGGGCAGUCUUGGGUGCUAGAUACUGCAUCCACUAAUGUGGAAACUUCUGGUUGUAAUAGUAUUUUAAUGUAAGUAGGAUUCUUGUUUUUCUUCCUAUUUAUCAUGUAGGAGCAAUACAGGUAUUUAUAAGAAUGAAAUUUCUUCUAUUAUGGUUCCUGAGUCAGCAACAUAUAUGUUUUAAACAGUAUCCAUUUGAUGGUGAUACAUGUGCUUAACCUUUGAAUUGUAAGAAUAGUCACACUGAAGUCAGUAGAGGUUCAGUGAGUGCAGUGGGAUUGUUGUCGUGUUUAAUCCCAGGGGGCAGCAAGUGCUGUGCAGCUGCUCAAUCAGAUACCCCACUGCCCACAGUGGGCCAGGAAGAAUUAGAAAAAAGAUAAAACCCGUGAGUUAAGAGCAGUUCAGUAAUUUGAAUAAAGUAAAAUAUAGUAAAAAUAAUGGAAAGGGAGAUUACAAAAAGAGAAGAAUAAAACUGGAGGAAGACAAGGGAUGCCCAGUGCAAUUGCUCACCACCUGUUCAUCUGUUCCCAGCUCAUCCCAGCAGCAACCAGCAGCUCCCAGCCAAUCCCCCCAGUUCUGUACUGAGUGUGACAUUCUUUGGGAUGGAACAUCCCUUUGGCCAGUUUGGGUCAGCUGUCCUGGCCAUGCACCCUCCUGCCUUCCUCUUCCUGUGCUCGCUGGCAGAGCAUGGGAAACUAUAAAGUCCUUGACUUAGACUAAGCUGUACCCAGCAACAUCAGUGUGUUAUCAACAUUAUUCUCAGACUGAAUCCAAAACCCAGCCCUGUAUCAGCUACUAGGAAAAAAAAUUAACUCUGUCCCAGCGAAAACCAGGACAAAUGUGUGAAAAAAGUUUGAGCGUGCUUAGUUGAUUAAAACACAUGAAGGUGAAAAAAGGUGUAAACAUAAGAACAUUUAAAGUGUCAUUAUUGGUACCAGUUUCUCAGAAGGCCUGCAUAUGAUUUAAAAAGUGUGUGUGGAGCUUGGGGCUGCUAUGCAAAAAGGAAUCUUAGUAGGCUGGAGAAGUGAAUGUCCUGGCAGGAACCUUUUGAAGCUCAGCUAAGGUAGGUGCCAAGUCCUACACCUGGGAGGAAGUAACUCCAUGCAUCCAUAUGUACAGUCGGGAGACUGGAAACGAAGCAGUCUAGCAGGAAAAGAACUUCAUGACCUAGUGAAAAGCAAGUUGAACGUGAUGGUGGCAAAGAAGCCCAACCACAUACUGGAUUGCAUUAGCAAGAAUAUAGUCAGUGGGUUGUGAGAUGGGGUUCUUCACCUCUGUGCUGUGCUUGAGAGAACGUGUGGUGUUCUGUGUUCAGAUACAUACACAAAUGAACUUGAGCAGAAAAUUGUCAAGGUGGUUAAGGGACUGGAGCACAAGAUGUGUGAGAAGAUGGUGAAAGAGUUGAUGUUGUUGAGAGAGCUAUUGAGAGGGACAUCUUCCUGUUAUCUAUAAAUACCUAGUGAAAGACUCCUGAGAAGAGGCAGACCUGUCUCAGAAGUGCAUGGGAAUGUGAUAAGAGGUGGCAGACUCAAGCUGGAACAUGGGAAAUUCUGACCAGACAGUGGGGAAAAAAAUUAAAUGGUAGUAGUCAAACAUUUCAGCAGCAUGAUCAGCAAGCUUGCAGAAUCUCUGUGCUUGGAGUUGUUCAAAACUCAACAAAUUCUUGAACAACCUGCUCAUAUUGGACCUGCUUUGAGCAGGAGGUAGGGACUAGCAGCCACCCAGCUGUCUCUAUCUGCAUGAUUACAGAAUCUCUAAUAUAAAUUUGUUUUUUAAUUACUGCUUCUGUUUGUCAAAGAAAACAUAAAAGGGUUCCAACUCUGUUGCCACAUCUGGUAAAACCUUUCCCUGUAAACAUAUAGAAGAAUUUUAAAGUAGACCAUUUUUUUAGUUUAAAAGUUUUCACUAUUAUAUGACAAAUUGGAAGCUGGGUUUUUCUGGUAGAUGCAAUGCUGUCAGAGUUUUUAUGUUGAGCGAGUUCUGGUUUGGAACCCUCAAAGUAGAACAAAUACAAGAUUUGUGUUACUUCUUUAAGCUUAAUUUCUCUGAAAUGAUGUUUGUGAGAUCUUUAGUACAUUGCCAAAAAUAAUUUUGUCUGCUGUGUUUUUAGCCAUGCCUACAGUUAUAGGCAAGACAGGGUUUAGACCUGUGUCCUAUAACUGCGUAAAAAGAAUAGCGAAAUGCCGUUACUGUGCAUCUUUUGUUUUCUUAAUCCUAUCUGGGGUAUGUUGGUUAUAUCUUCUAGUUUGUACUGGGAAAUAGUGGAGAAUGGUUCUGUAUGUCUUUGCCAUCAAACAAGUUUGUCCAUAAGUGGUGAGAAAACUGCAUAUAAUUCUCACAUCUGGGAUAUUUCAGAGUUAUUAGGUUUAUUUAUAGUUAACGCCCCUUUACCUGAACCAUAUAGCUGUUUCUCAAGUUCUGUUAAUAUAAUACCAGUGCACCUUUAGGAUCAGUAUUAUGUAGAUACUAAUCAGUACUAGUAUUAGGAAUACUGCUUAAGUCUGUUAUUUAAAAUAUACAAUGUGAGUGAUCAUUUGACCAGAUUUAUGAGUUUGCUAAGUACUGGUAGUGGGGAUAUUUGUGCAGGGCUAGAUCUAUUGCUUUUUCCUGUGUCACUUGGUGACUUUUUAAAUGUUAUUGUGUAUCCAAUUGGGCCCAGAUUUUUAGUGAGUGGUCUACACAUCAGUGGGCAGAAUCCUAACGAUUUUGGGAGUAAGUGGAAAACAGAAAAACUUAAGUCUGCAUUGGAGUCAGACUCAUUUGCUUGUUUUUGGUAAUGCCAUAAAAACCUGAGGAAGGAGGGCAGUCCCUGGUUACAGGAGUGGAUUAGUCAGUUUAGGAUGAGGAGAUAGAUUGCAGCUGAUGAUGGUACCCUCUGAUAGCAGCCCUCUGGACCUAAAGCAGUGCUAAAAAUUAACCAAUCCUUUACCAAUUCCAGUCUUGCAUUCAUUCUUCUGUGCUUGU
Molecule: long non-coding RNA, 4036 nt
Organism: Passer domesticus (house sparrow)
Lineage: Eukaryota; Metazoa; Chordata; Aves; Passeriformes; Passeridae
Exons: 4
Source: RefSeq, a predicted model, not a curated record